RNAcentral lists this ribosomal RNA (253 nucleotides) under uncultured bacterium. Its description in RNAcentral is "partial 16S ribosomal RNA". It matches the Rfam family "Bacterial small subunit ribosomal RNA", at positions 524 to 776 of the family's 1533-position model. The record is from RNAcentral.
UACGUAGGGUGCAAGCGUUAAUCGGAAUUACUGGGCGUAAAGCGUGCGUAGACGGUUACGUAAGUCGGAUGUGAAAGCCCCGGGCUCAACCUGGGAAUUGCAUUCGAGACUGCGUAGCUAGGAUGCGGAAGAGGGAAGCGGAAUUUCCGGUGUAGCGGUGAAAUGCGUAGAUAUCGGCAGGAACACCAGUGGCGAAAGCGGCUUCCUGGUCCAGCAUCGACGUUCAGGCACGAAAGCGUGGGGAGCAAACAGG